UGUUCCUUUGCCCUCUUGUCUUCUGCCAUGGGAUGAGAACGGAAGAAGAUGCCAGCUUCCAGAAAUGUGAAUCAAUGAAUUUCUGUUCAUUGUGUUAUCCUUUCUUAUAUUCCAUUAUAGCAAUGAUAAGUAGACUAAGACAUUAUCUUUUUAAAAAAAUAUUUAUUUGAAGGACAGAACAACAGAGAAAGAGGCAAAGACAAGGAGAGAGAGAGAGAGAGAGAGAGAGAGAGAGAUCCUCCAUUCAUUGGUUCGCUCCCCAAAUGACUGCAACAGUGAGGGCUGGGCAAAACUGGAACUCCAUCCUGGUCUUCUACAUGUGUGACAGAGGCCCAAGUACCCAGACCAUCAACUGCUGCUUUCCCAUGUGCAUUAGCAAGGAGCUAAAUCAGAGGGGGAGCUGUGGGACUUGAACCAGCACUCUGAUAUGGAAUGCAGGCAUCACAAACAACAGCUUGGCCUGCUGCUCCUAAUGCCAGCUGGCUAAGACAUUCAUCACCAGUCGUGCUGUCACCUGAAUUUCUACAUUUUAGUCCAUGCUAAGGUUUUGGGGCAAAACUAAAAGUGCAGUUUCCUGAGCUGGUAAUGGUAACAUAGAUUAUGUCAUCAUUUCUGAAUGAGAAUGCAAAUUCCUAAUAAUUUAUUCAUGAAACCCAGAAAUCAAAGACACCAUUAUUGAUGAAAGAUACCUGUGGUAGGGUCAUGAUUGGCCCCUGAGAGGGCAGCAGUAUUCUACAGCUUGACCUAGGUGCUGGUUAUGCUAGCAUGUGUAUAAUUUGUUGACUUUCAUUUAUUUAUGUUAUGGUACAAUAAACAUUAAGGAAUUGUAAAAGGAAGUAAAACCAGUGAGAUAACUAGGAAAUAAUGAUCAUAGAAGUACAAAAGAAGCCAGAAGAAUGAAACAUCCCAGCAACCAAGAGAAGAUAGAGGAGAUGUGCAUCAACAGCACUAAUGGAAGAAGCAGUGUCAAGUGAGGAUGGACAGAUGGCUUUAAACUUAACUGGGAGAAAUGUUUGUAUUAUCCAAAAGACAGAAACAAAUGCUGGCAAUGCUGUGAAUAAAUAGGAAUUCUUAUACACUGGUGGUGGAAAUGUAAAUUACUGGAGCCACUGUGGAAAACAGUAUGGAGAUUUAAAAAAAACAACUGGGAAUGAAACUGCAAUGUUAUCCAACAAUCCCACUGCUUGCUGCCCGGACUCCUUGCAGAUCCUGAAUGCACCAGGCAACUUCAUGCUGUGUCCUACGCCAUCGUUGUGCAAGGAAAUGACCUCCACAUCUUUUAAUUCCCUACCACCACCAAAGGAACUCUGAACACUGCAUAUUACUACACUAUUCUUCAAAUCCUGUGCAAAGGGAAUAAGUAAACUAUGUUGAUAAAAGAGAAACAGCAAAGUUUAGUGUCUCUUAAAAAAACAAAAUGAAAAUUGGAUGAGACCUGUUAAAGGAAGAUUAAACUGCAGCCAGUCUCACAAUCCUGUCCAUCACAUGAGGCUACAGC
Non-coding RNA from Oryctolagus cuniculus (rabbit), 1498 nucleotides. NCBI's taxonomy places the organism in Eukaryota, Metazoa, Chordata, Mammalia, Lagomorpha, Leporidae. The record is from RefSeq and is a predicted model, not a curated record.